This 437-nucleotide ribosomal RNA is filed under the name Cortinarius sp. YM2210. RNAcentral describes it as "eukaryotic LSU rRNA". The stretch from base 85 to 238 matches the Rfam family "5.8S ribosomal RNA". Lineage: Eukaryota; Fungi; Basidiomycota; Agaricomycetes; Agaricales; Cortinariaceae. The record is from RNAcentral.
UUUGUAGGCCUUCCAGGUCUAUGUUGCUUUUUCAUUUACCCCAAUGUAUGUUAAUAGAAAUGUUGUGCAUAUAAAAAUCUAUACAACUUUCAGCAACGGAUCUCUUGGCUCUCGCAUCGAUGAAGAACGCAGCGAAAUGCGAUAAGUAAUGUGAAUUGCAGAAUUCAGUGAAUCAUCGAAUCUUUGAACGCACCUUGCGCUCCUUGGUAUUCCGAGGAGCAUGCCUGUUUGAGUGUCAUUAAUAUAUAUCAAUCUUCUCAUUUAUGAGUGGUUUGGAUGUGGGGGUUUGCUGGCUUCUUAAAUGAGUUCAGCUCCUCUGAAAUGCAUUAGCAGAACAACCUUGUUCAUUGGCGUGAUAACUAUCUACGCUAUUGAAUGUGAGGGAUGGUUCAGCUUUCUAACAGUCCUUGGACAACUUAUCAUUUAUGUGACCUCAA